UAGGGGGCGAGCGUUGUCCGGAAUUACUGGGCGUAAAGAGAGCGUAGGCGGUACUGUAAGUUUCAUGUGAAAUACCCGGGCUUAACUUGGGGGUUGCAUGGAAAACUGCAGAGCUUGAGUACGGGAGAGGCAAGCGGAAUUCCUAGUGUAGCGGUGAAAUGCAUAGAUAUUAGGAGGAACACCAGUGGCGAAGGCGGCUUGCUGGACCGAAACUGACGCUGAGGCUCGAAAGCGUGGGGAGCAAAC
This 246-nucleotide ribosomal RNA is filed under the name uncultured bacterium. RNAcentral's name for it is "partial 16S ribosomal RNA". It matches the Rfam family "Bacterial small subunit ribosomal RNA", at positions 528 to 773 of the family's 1533-position model. The record is from RNAcentral.